This 464-nucleotide ribosomal RNA is filed under the name uncultured bacterium. Its description in RNAcentral is "partial 16S ribosomal RNA". It matches the Rfam family "Bacterial small subunit ribosomal RNA", at positions 28 to 507 of the family's 1533-position model. The record is from RNAcentral.
GACGAACGCUGGCGGCGUGCUUAACACAUGCAAGUCGAACGGAAAGGCCCUGCUUGCAGGGUACUCGAGUGGCGAACGGGUGAGUAACACUUGGGUGAUCUGCCCUGCACUUCGGGAUAAGCCUGGGAAACUGGGUCUAAUACCGGAUAGGAGCCAGUUUUAGUGUGAUGGUUGGAAAGUUUUUUCGGUGUAGGAUGAGCUCGCGGCCUAUCAGCGUGUUGGUGGGGUAAUGGCCUACCAAGGCGGCGACGGGUAGCCGGCCUGAGAGGGUGGACGGCCACAUUGGGACUGAGAUACGGCCCAGACUCCUACGGGAGGCAGCAGUGGGGAAUAUUGCACAAUGGGCGCAAGCCUGAUGCAGCGACGCCGCGUGGGGGAUGACGGCCUUCGGGUUGUAAACUCCUUUCGCUAGGGACGAAGCUUUUGUGACGGUACCUAGAGAAGAAGCACCGGCUAACUACGUG